AAGAAGUCAAUGAGAAACCAACUUGCCGCUUUGAUUCAUUCCAAUGUCAUACAGCCCAUCAUCAAUUGCCACAAAAACGCAGACCUCACAUCCCUGUGCUUGUGCUCCAGCUGCUGCGCGAGCGCCUGCCUCUCUCCCSUUCCUAUGAAGGUCAAGAAAGUGGGGAACGUAAACUGUUAUUUAGGCUUUACAUGACACAGCCAAGUGGCAAGCAUGCAAUCUCUCUUAUUUUCUUAUGGCAGAAGCUUUUCACAUGCACGUCGCAACUUCUAAGGAGUUGUAAGUGGUAGAGGAAUACUUGCCUCAGGGCUUCGCCAGCCAGGCGUGGUUGCCCGCUUUUGGCGCAGGUGGCCUCUUUGGAAUUAUGUUCCCAGUCUUCUUCCUCCCAUCACCUGUGUGGAAUACGAAGACCAUUUUCAGCAGGGCCAACACAAGGGGAGAGCAUCCUGUCCAUGUUCCCAACAAAUGUAGCAGAGCAGAACAGAGCAGACGCGAAAAUUCCAAUUGAAAAAGCUGUACACAAGCAGCAAAUCAUGCUCCUCACCACAACCUGCGUCGCUGCCUCUAGCACAGCCAUCUCUCUUACCCCUCUUGUCCCCUUUAUCACCCAUCUGUAACAAAAGUGCACAGCAAGUUGGCCAUGACAGAAGGCAUUGUGCACCAAACUCCACCCUCACCCUCAGCAUGACUGAGCAUGCUUGCGCAAGCCACAGCAGGCUACUAAAAAAAAAAGCUGCACACAAAAAGCAACUCAUGUGCAUGCUCCCUUGCACCUGUGCCUGUGUUGUUGCCGCCAGCACAGCCAUCGCUCCCGCCCCUUCCGUCUCGUUUGUUGCCUGAGUGUGCCAAAAGCGCACAGCAAGUUGACCAUGACAGAAGACAGUCACAACAAACUCUGCCCUCACUCUCAGCAUGACCCAAGCAAGCCGCAGCAGGCAACAGAAAAAAAAAGCUGCACGCAAAAGGCACACCAGGUAACAAGUAGGGAACCUCAUUUAUUUCCUUUUGGGAGAAGCUUCUCACGUGUGCGUUGCAACUCCUAACUACGUGGUACAGGACAACACUUUGCCUUAGGGCCAGCGAGCCAUGCUUGCCUUUAGGCGUGGGUGGCCCCUAUGGGGCAUCGUUCCCAUGCUUCCUCCUCCCAUCACCUGUAUGGAAUAAAAAGAAGGCAAAGUAAUGAGCCAAUCCUUAAAUUCCUAAAAAGGAUGCGCUUGAAGGGCAUGCAGUCACAGCAUGCAAAGCAGCCUCGUUCUACACAGUCUGAGCUUGCAUGGGAAUCCUAAAUC
This 1289-nucleotide long non-coding RNA is filed under the name Dunaliella salina. RNAcentral's name for it is "long non-coding RNA (DSAL_LNC000220)". Lineage: Eukaryota; Viridiplantae; Chlorophyta; Chlorophyceae; Chlamydomonadales; Dunaliellaceae. The record is from RNAcentral.